AAUGGUAAACAUUUUAAUCACGACUGUAAUUGAAAGGUUAAUAUUCAAUUAAAACAUUAUUGAAUUAAUUAAUUUUUUAAUUAAAAAAGAUUAUAUUUACAAUUCAAUUAAAUUUUUAAUUGAAAACUGUUUGUUUUUCUGUGUAACUGUACACGCAUUUAGUAUAGAUUAAAUAUCGGGGAGCCCAGGAUAGCUAUCACUAGCUAGCGGAUGAACAUGUCGGAUCGUAAUUGAGCCCAAACUACUCUGGUCUACCUUAAGUCUUCUUGGCGUGGAAUACCUAUCCACAAGAUGAUGAUUUGGAUGGUCUCUGCGAUAACAGCCCAGAAGGUAUUGCUUGGACAGCAUGUAGUUUUGUCUUCCCACGGCUCCCUAUGCACCUUAUGCGUGUAUGCAGUGAACAAUGUGACUGAAGAUUUGGUGGCAGAAAUCUUAAAAUUUCUUGCAGCGGAAUAAGAGGCAAGUUGGUUGAGGUAGAUGAAUAACCUAUCGCAGAUGUCAACAAUGGGUGAGGGGCCUGAUGCCAUGAUCGUACAACCGUCCGCAAAUGAUACGAUCUCUAUGCCGUCUGGAGGCGGUAGAAUGAAGGAUAGGUAGAGGUUAAACAGUGUCGGAGAUAUAACCCCGCCUUGGAGAACACAUUGUUUCACUCUACGGUGUUUCGAUUUCUUAUCUCUAAAUUUCACAAAUGACUGGCGACCACACAGAUAAUUCGCGACCCAGCGUUUCAGGCCUGGCUGGAGGGACGUGUUGGCUAUUGUGUUUAAAUGUUUUAUUCAAACUGAAAAAUAUAUGUACUCUAAUUCAAUUACAGGAAUACAAAAUUGCAAUGACUACUUGAUAGAUUAAUAAAACUAAAAGUAGUAAUAUGAGAAA
This is a long non-coding RNA of Stomoxys calcitrans (stable fly), 876 nucleotides long. RefSeq lists it as uncharacterized. The transcript is spliced from 2 exons. NCBI's taxonomy places the organism in Eukaryota, Metazoa, Arthropoda, Insecta, Diptera, Muscidae. The record is from RefSeq and is a predicted model, not a curated record.